Molecule: long non-coding RNA, 365 nt
Filed under: Ananas comosus (pineapple)
Lineage: Eukaryota; Viridiplantae; Streptophyta; Magnoliopsida; Poales; Bromeliaceae
Description: long non-coding RNA (ACOM_LNC021075)
Source: RNAcentral
UUUUACAAAAAUCAGAGAUUUCUGCGAAAAUUGACAUGCAGUCGAAAUUAAAGUGAGGAAAUCACUUGGAGAAGCUUUUUGUAAAAAACAGUGAAUUUUAAUGCAUGAAACUGCGAAAUAUCCCUAUUGGAAGGGCUUAUAUGUAAUUCGGCUGUGUUGUGGAGCUGGGUGCAAGAAAAGGUGUAAGCUGCAAUUGUUACAUGAAUUAAAUGAAUGCGUGUGUGUGUGUAUAUAUAUAGUUAUAUAUACAUAUAUGGAGUAGGGCUACUAUACUCUUAUGAGUAUAGAGCCCUUACUAUUCAUAAGUUGUUUUCGAUGUUGGAGUUUUCGAAUCGACGAUCCACACCGCUAAACAUGAUCUAGAG